This 468-nucleotide ribosomal RNA is filed under the name uncultured bacterium. Its description in RNAcentral is "partial 16S ribosomal RNA". It matches the Rfam family "Bacterial small subunit ribosomal RNA", at positions 28 to 507 of the family's 1533-position model. The record is from RNAcentral.
GACGAACGCUGGCGGCGUGCUUAACACAUGCAAGUCGAACGGAAAGGCCCUGCUUUUGUGGGGUGCUCGAGUGGCGAACGGGUGAGUAACACGUGAGUAACCUGCCCUUGACUUUGGGAUAACUUCAGGAAACUGGGGCUACUACCGGAUAGGAGCUCCUGCUCCAUUGUGGGGGUUGGAAAGUUUCGGCGGUUGGGGAUGGACUCGCGGCUUAUCAGCUUGUUGGUGGGGUAGUGGCUUACCAAGGCUUUGACGGGUAGCCGGCCUGAGAGGGUGACCGGCCACAUUGGGACUGAGAUACGGCCCAGACUCCUACGGGAGGCAGCAGUGGGGAAUAUUGCACAAUGGGCGGAAGCCUGAUGCAGCAACGCCGCGUGCGGGAUGACGGCCUUCGGGUUGUAAACCGCUGUCGCCUGUGACGAAGCGUGAGUGACGGUAAUGGGUAAAGAAGCACCGGCUAACUACGUG